UAGGGGCAGAUCUCAUACCUUCCAAGGGUA
This 30-nucleotide non-coding RNA is filed under the name Homo sapiens (human). The record is from RNAcentral. Lineage: Eukaryota; Metazoa; Chordata; Mammalia; Primates; Hominidae.